RNAcentral lists this ribosomal RNA (253 nucleotides) under uncultured bacterium. Its description in RNAcentral is "partial 16S ribosomal RNA". It matches the Rfam family "Bacterial small subunit ribosomal RNA", at positions 524 to 776 of the family's 1533-position model. The record is from RNAcentral.
UACGUAGGGUGCAAGCGUUAAUCGGAAUUACUGGGCGUAAAGCGUGCGCAGGCGGUGAUGUAAGACAGGUGUGAAAUCCCCGGGCUUAACCUGGGAACUGCAUUUGUGACUGCAUCGCUGGAGUGCGGCAGAGGGGGAUGGAAUUCCGCGUGUAGCAGUGAAAUGCGUAGAUAUGCGGAGGAACACCGAUGGCGAAGGCAGGUCUCUGGGCUGACACUGACGCUCAUGCACGAAAGCGUGGGGAGCAAACAGG